Small nucleolar RNA from Sciurus vulgaris (Eurasian red squirrel), 89 nucleotides. Ensembl annotates it as small nucleolar RNA, C/D box 70B. Its record names the gene SNORD70B. Lineage: Eukaryota; Metazoa; Chordata; Mammalia; Rodentia; Sciuridae. The record is from Ensembl.
UUCAAUGUUGUCAAUGAUGCAUUCUUUUAAUGGAACUGAAUUUAAGUGAUCUAAAUCAAAUUCGUCACUACCACUGAGACAACAUUGAG